GAAACUUAGGUUCACCCAAACCGAAG
RNAcentral lists this transfer RNA (26 nucleotides) under Pholidornis rushiae (tit-hylia). RNAcentral describes it as "partial tRNA-Trp". The record is from RNAcentral. Lineage: Eukaryota; Metazoa; Chordata; Aves; Passeriformes; Paridae.